CACAAAACUCACCGCUGUUGUUUCAGCGAUAUUUCUGAUUUGCAUGAAGAUACAGGCUAUGUUCAAACGCUUACACAAUCACAGAGCUAAGUCCUGCUGCACUGUGCUGUCAAUCACAUGCUAGAGAGCAGAGCCAUUAUGGCCGCAUGUCAUUUAUCACUAGCUACAGGGGACAAGCCAGGCUCAUUACUGUGUGUGCUGGGGAGCCCCCAGGCUCAGUAUGACGCAGCAGCAGCCCUGCAGCCCUGCAACCCACAAGCUUAAUUAAAGGAGCUGGUGGAUUCCACACUAAUAGCAACAUAACAUCGACUUUUCUUCAUACAAAUCCAUGCAGAGGACCUGUGAUCCUCCCUCGGUCCAGAUGAGUGCUUGAAUCACACACAGGACGUUUUCCAUUAGCCGUUUCUAUGUGUUUGUGUUUGUGUUGUUGUUACCGGUGGUAGAAGGUUCACCCUGUUGAUGUUUUUGUUUAUACUGAUAAAAUCUUGUGAGGCAGCAUGAAAUUAAACCGCAAAAUAUUAAACGUAACAGUGAAACUCUGUUGAAAAUGAUUUCUGUUGUCCUCCAGCAUUUAAUUUAAACAGAACAGAGAGGAGACACAAAGAGACAAAUAUACAGACAGAUGGGAUAAGGUCAAGUGUCUUUAAAAUAAAUAUAGACACACACACAUUCACGCUGACAGACAUGAAAGCAGUGGUCUGCAGUCUAAAUCGGCGCUUUCCAUCCACACAAGGUAUUCUGGUGUUACUUAACAUUUUUAAAUUGAAUCGUAGCCUAAUAUUUUCUCAAAUCAAACUGAUAUUCAUCAAAACAAAUCAACCUGACAGUCAGAUCUUAACUUUUGGUCUCACCUCGUGUGGAACCAUAUGUUUUAAAUUGUCAGAUAUUGAGAGUAAUGACACUUUAUGUAGAAAAAAAAAAUACUCUUUAUGAGGUUUGAUACUCAGCCAGCAAUUUGCAGAAAGAGUUUCUCCAGCUGAAUGUAUGGUUCUUUGUACCACCUUAGCGUCUUAUUUAUUUAAGAAACCACUUUACACUACAGUCCGUACAUAUGAGUUUUUAUAUUUUGCAUUAAUCACGCACUUCUCACAACUACUGCUAUGUUUGUUCAAUUUUUAGGUCAGGAAGGGGGAUGCAAGUAAAGCAACGCAAUUCAUCUCGCUGUCAGCUCGACCAGACUACAGAUCAUUAAGCUGAAUCUCCUUCAGACGCCUCGAUCCAGUCCAUAGUCUACAUAGGGACAGAGCGACCGAGGAGUGUGCUGUCAACCAGUUAGUCAGCCACCCACUCAGAUUUAGAGGAACCACAAGGAACCAGGAACCGUCUGCAUGUCUCCCCGAGCAUCACUGAAAUAGAAAAAGAAGAGCACUGCUGUGUAUCCGACACACUGAAAGGAGGUUUGGAGCCAAGACGUUGACGAGCUGAUGUGACAGGACAGUGUCAAGUACAAAACAACAAUCCAGCAGCCGUGGCCUAGAGGUUGGAGAAGCGGCUUGUGA
Scatophagus argus is the source of this 1499-nucleotide long non-coding RNA. RefSeq lists it as uncharacterized. The record is from RefSeq and is a predicted model, not a curated record. The transcript is spliced from 4 exons. Lineage: Eukaryota; Metazoa; Chordata; Actinopteri; Scatophagidae.